This 471-nucleotide ribosomal RNA is filed under the name uncultured bacterium. RNAcentral describes it as "bacterial SSU rRNA". It matches the Rfam family "Bacterial small subunit ribosomal RNA", at positions 22 to 518 of the family's 1533-position model. The record is from RNAcentral.
GGUCAGGACGAACGCUGGCGGCGUGCUUAACACAUGCAAGUCGAACGGGAGUAUUGAAGAAGCUUGCUUAGAGAUACUUAGUGGCGGACGGGUGAGUAACGCGUGAGGAGCUGUCCUAUGCAGGGGGACAACAGCUGGAAACGGCUGCUAAUACCCCAUAAGCCGAGAGGUAAAAGGAUCAAUCCGGCAGAGGAGGUACUCGCGUCCUAUCAGCUAGUAGGUGAGGUAACGGCUCACCUAGGCGAAGACGGGUAGCCGGCCUGAGAGGGCGAACGGCCACACUGGAACUGAGAUACGGUCCAGACUCCUACGGGAGGCAGCAGUGGGGAAUAUUGGGCAAUGGGGGAAACCCUGACCCAGCGACGCCGCGUGGGUGAAGAAAUCCUUCGGGAUGUAAAGCCCUGUUGUAUGGGAAGAGCGGAAGACGGUACCAUACGAGGAAGCCCCGGCAAACUACGUGCCAGCCGCUGC